GAUGAACGCUGGCGGCGUGCCUAAUACAUGCAAGUCGAGCGAACGGACGAGAAGCUUGCUUUUCUGAUGUUAGCGGCGGACGGGUGAGUAACACGUGGAUAACCUACCUAUAAGACUGGGAUAACUUCGGGAAACCGGAGCUAAUACCGGAUAAUAUUUUGAACCGCAUGGUUCAAAAGUGAAAGACGGUCUUGCUGUCACUUAUAGAUGGAUCCGCGCUGCAUUAGCUAGUUGGUAAGGUAACGGCUUACCAAGGCAACGAUGCAUAGCCGACCUGAGAGGGUGGUCGGACACACUGGAACUGAGACACGGUCCAGACUCCUACGGGAGGCAGCAGUAGGGAAUCUUCCGCAAUGGGCGAAAGCCUGACGGAGCAACGCCGCGUGAGUGAUGAAGGUCUUCGGAUCGUAAAACUCUGUUAUUAGGGAAGAACAUAUGUGUAAGUAACUGUGCACAUCUUGACGGUACCUAAUCAGAAAGCCACGGCUAACUACGUG
RNAcentral lists this ribosomal RNA (497 nucleotides) under uncultured bacterium. RNAcentral describes it as "partial 16S ribosomal RNA". It matches the Rfam family "Bacterial small subunit ribosomal RNA", at positions 28 to 507 of the family's 1533-position model. The record is from RNAcentral.